CCUACGGGAGGCAGCAGUGGGGAAUAUUGCGCAAUGGGCGCAAGCCUGACGCAGCGACGCCGCGUGCGGGAUGAAGGUCUUCGGAUCGUAAACCUCUGUCAGCAGGGAAGAACGGUCACUGUGCUAAUCAGCAGUGAAUUGACGGUACCUGCAAAGGAAGCACCGGCUAACUCCGUGCCAGCAGCCGCGGUAAUACGGAGGGUGCGAGCGUUAAUCGGAUUUACUGGGCGUAAAGCGCUCGUUGGCGGUAUGUCAAGUCAAGGGUGAAAUCCCCGCGCUCAACGUGGGAACUGCCUUUGAAACGGGCAAACUGGAGUGUGUGAGAGGAUAGUGGAAUUCCAGGUGUAGGAGUGAAAUGCGUAGAUAUCUGGAGGAACAUCAGUGGCGAAGGCGACUAUCUGGCACAUAACUGACGCUGAGGAGCGAAAGCGUGGGUAGCAAACAGGAUUAGAUACCCGAGUAGUC
RNAcentral lists this ribosomal RNA (465 nucleotides) under uncultured bacterium. RNAcentral's name for it is "partial 16S ribosomal RNA". It matches the Rfam family "Bacterial small subunit ribosomal RNA", at positions 338 to 795 of the family's 1533-position model. The record is from RNAcentral.